UCCCUGGUAGUCUAGUGGUUAGGAUUUGGCGCUCUCACCACCGCAGCCCGGGUUCGAUUCCCAGUCAGGGAA
Molecule: transfer RNA, 72 nt
Filed under: Dasypus novemcinctus (nine-banded armadillo)
Lineage: Eukaryota; Metazoa; Chordata; Mammalia; Cingulata; Dasypodidae
Description: tRNA-Glu (CTC) (tRNA-Glu-CTC-4-1)
Rfam family: tRNA
About the family: Transfer RNA (tRNA) molecules are approximately 80 nucleotides in length. Their secondary structure includes four short double-helical elements and three loops (D, anti-codon, and T loops). Further hydrogen bonds mediate the characteristic L-shaped molecular structure. tRNAs have two regions of fundamental functional importance: the anti-codon, which is responsible for specific mRNA codon recognition, and the 3' end, to which the tRNAs corresponding amino acid is attached (by aminoacyl-tRNA synthetases). tRNAs cope with the degeneracy of the genetic code in two manners: having more than one tRNA (with a specific anti-codon) for a particular amino acid; and 'wobble' base-pairing, i.e. permitting non-standard base-pairing at the 3rd anti-codon position.
Source: RNAcentral